GAUGAACGCUGGCGGCGUGCCUAAUACAUGCAAGUCGAGCGAACAGACGAGGAGCUUGCUCCUCUGACGUUAGCGGCGGACGGGUGAAUAACACGUGGAUAACCUACCUAUAAGACUGGGAUAACUUCGGGAAACCGGAGCUAGUACCGGAUAAUAUAUUGAACCGCAUGGUUCAAUAGUGAAAGACGGUUUUGCUGUCACUUAUAGAUGGAUCCGCGCCGCAUUAGCUAGUUGGUAAGGUAACGGCUUACCAAGGCAACGAUGCGUAGCCGACCUGAGAGGGUGAUCGGCCACACUGGAACUGAGACACGGUCCAGACUCCUACGGGAGGCAGCAGUAGGGAAUCUUCCGCAAUGGGCGAAAGCCUGACGGAGCAACGCCGCGUGAGUGAUGAAGGUCUUCGGAUCGUAAAACUCUGUUAUUAGGGAAGAACAAAUGUGUAAGUAACUAUGCACGUCUUGACGGUACCUAAUCAGAAAGCCACGGCUAACUACGUG
Molecule: ribosomal RNA, 497 nt
Filed under: uncultured bacterium
Lineage: Bacteria
Description: partial 16S ribosomal RNA
Rfam family: Bacterial small subunit ribosomal RNA
Source: RNAcentral